GGCGGCGUGCUUAACACAUGCAAGUCGAACGGUGAAGGGAAGCUUGCUUCCCGGAUCAGUGGCGAACGGGUGAGUAACACGUGGGCAAUCUGCCCCAGACUUUGGGAUAACUACUCGAAAGAGUAGCUAAUACCGAAUAUUCAGCCUUGCAGGCAUCUGCGAGGCUGGAAAGUUUCUCGGUCUGGGAUGAGCCCGCGGCCUAUCAGCUAGUUGGUGAGGUAAUGGCUCACCAAGGCGACGACGGGUAGCCGGCCUGAGAGGGCGACCGGCCACACUGGGACUGAGACACGGCCCAGACUCCUACGGGAGGCAGCAGUGGGGAAUAUUGCGCAAUGGGCGAAAGCCUGACGCAGCAACGCCGCGUGCGGGAUGAAGGCCUUCGGGUUGUAAACCGCUUUCAGCAGGGAAGAAGCGAAAGUGACGGUACCUGCAGAAGAAGCACCGGCUAACUACGUG
Molecule: ribosomal RNA, 456 nt
Filed under: uncultured bacterium
Lineage: Bacteria
Description: bacterial SSU rRNA
Rfam family: Bacterial small subunit ribosomal RNA
Source: RNAcentral